Molecule: small nuclear RNA, 104 nt
Organism: Cavia aperea (Brazilian guinea pig)
Lineage: Eukaryota; Metazoa; Chordata; Mammalia; Rodentia; Caviidae
Source: Ensembl
GUGCUCGCUUUAGCAGUACAUAUACUAAAAUAGGAACAAUACAGAGAUUAGCAAGAUCUCUGCGCAAGGAAGACACCCAAAUUCAUGAAACAUUUUGUAUUUUU